AUUGAACGCUGGCGGCAGGCCUAACACAUGCAAGUCGAGCGGAGCGGCGGCCGGGAGAGUAAUGCCUAGGAAUCUGCCUGGUAGUGGGGGAUAACGUCCGGAAACGGGCGCUAAUACAGCAUACUAUCAGAUGAGCCUAGGUCGGAUUAGCUAGUUGGUGGGGUAAAGGCCUACCAAGGCGACGAUCCGUAACUGGUCUGAGAGGAUGAUCAGUCAAAUUGGAAGCGAGACAGGGUGCAGACUCCUACGGGACGCAGCAGUGGGGAAUAUUGGACAAUGGGUGAAAGCCUGAUCCAGCCAGGCCGCGUGUGUGACGAAGGUCUUCGGAUUGUAAAGCACUUUAAGUUGGAGGGCGUUCCCAACAGAAUAAGCACCGGCUAACUUCGUGCCAGCCGCCGCGGUAAUAC
Molecule: ribosomal RNA, 407 nt
Filed under: uncultured bacterium
Lineage: Bacteria
Description: partial 16S ribosomal RNA
Rfam family: Bacterial small subunit ribosomal RNA
Source: RNAcentral